RNAcentral lists this ribosomal RNA (531 nucleotides) under uncultured Pseudomonadota bacterium. RNAcentral's name for it is "bacterial SSU rRNA". It matches the Rfam family "Bacterial small subunit ribosomal RNA", at positions 349 to 896 of the family's 1533-position model. Lineage: Bacteria; Pseudomonadati; Pseudomonadota. The record is from RNAcentral.
CUGCAGUGGGGAAUCUUGGACAAUGGGGGCAACCCUGAUCCAGCGACGCCGCGUGGGUGAUGAAGGCCUUCGGGUCGUAAAGCCCUUUUGCCGGGGAAGAUGAUGACGGUACCCGGAGAAGAAGCACCGGCUAACUCUGUGCCAGCAGCCGCGGUAAGACAGAGGGUGCUAGCGUUGUUCGGAAUUACUGGGCGUAAAGGGCGCGUAGGCGGCCAUGUAAGUCGGGUGUGAAAUCCCGGGGGCUCAACCCCGGAACUGCAUUCGAUACUGUGUGGCUUGAGACCGGAAGAGGUGGGUGGAAUACCCAGUGUAGAGGUGAAAUUCGUAGAUAUUGGGUGGAACACCGGUGGCGAAGGCGGCUCACUGGUCCGGUUCUGACGCUGAGGCGCGAAAGCGUGGGGAGCAAACAGGAUUAGAUACCCUGGUAGUCCACGCCCUAAACGAUGUGUGCUAGAUGGUCGGGGGACUUGUCUCUCGGUGUCGGAGUUAACGUUUUAAGCACACCGCCUGGGGGGUACGGCCGCAAGGUUA